This is a small nucleolar RNA of Malania oleifera, 108 nucleotides long. The record is from RefSeq and is a predicted model, not a curated record. NCBI's taxonomy places the organism in Eukaryota, Viridiplantae, Streptophyta, Magnoliopsida, Santalales, Ximeniaceae.
AAUUUGUGAUGUGGCCAGAUAUUUAUCAGAUCCUUGAAUCUCUCCCAACAUGCCUAGAAAGUCUCGUCACCUUUCUGCAUGAACUAAUUGAUCUACUCCUGCAAGAAC